UGUAAGCAUGUGUAAAUGUGUGUGUUUAUUGUGUGUCUGUGGUCUCCAGCCGGUCCCACGGUGAAGCCCUCCGUGUCUCUGCUCCCUCCCUCCUCUCUGCAGCUGUCUGAGGGAUCGGCCUCGCUGCUCUGCCUGCUGUCUGCCUACUCUCCACAGGGGGCGCUGGUGAGCUGGACAGUGGACGGCUCAGAGGUGAAGAACGGGGUUCUGACCAGCGCAGAAGAACACAAGAAGGACGGUUACACACGCAGCAGCACCCUGACCCUCAGCAAAGCACUCUGGGAAAAGGGGGAGGAGUUUGUCUGCACGGUCUCCCAUGACGGCGUCAAUCAUCCGGUCACGUUCAGAAAGAGCCAGUGUGAAGGCUAACAGCUCCAAGAUAGAAUUUAACACUCAGCUGCUUACACAUCCAUCUACAAUAGAGUUUCAAUUCUACACAAUGCUGACAUUUCUGUCUUUACUCUCUUCACUGUCCUGUUGCUCUUCCUGUAGUUUUGCUCUGCUGAAAUAAAGCUUCAUUUUGGA
Neoarius graeffei (lesser salmon catfish) is the source of this 525-nucleotide non-coding RNA. Lineage: Eukaryota; Metazoa; Chordata; Actinopteri; Siluriformes; Ariidae. The record is from the annotation of a RefSeq genome assembly.